This 402-nucleotide ribosomal RNA is filed under the name uncultured bacterium. Its description in RNAcentral is "partial 16S ribosomal RNA". It matches the Rfam family "Bacterial small subunit ribosomal RNA", at positions 29 to 525 of the family's 1533-position model. The record is from RNAcentral.
AUUGAACGCUGGCUGCAGGCCUAACACAUGCAAGUCGGGCGAGCGGCGGACGGGUGAGUAAUGUAUGGGGACUGCCUGAUGGAGGGGGAUAACUACUGGAAACGGUAGCUAAUACCGCAUACCAUCAGAUAACCCAUAUGGGAUUAGGUAGUAGGUGAGGUAACGGCUCACCUAGGCGACGAUCCCUAGCUGGUCUGAGAGGAAGAUCGGCCAAACUGGGAGUAAGAGAGGGACGAGACACAUACGGAGGCAGGAGGGGGGAAUAUUGCACAGUGGGCGGAAGCCUGAUGCAGCCAUGCCGGGUGUAUGAAGAAGGCCGUCGGGUUGUAAAGUACUUUCAGUCGGGAGACGUAACCGACGGAAAAAGCACCGGCUAACUCCGUCCCAGCAGCGGGGGUAAAC